UACCCUUGACAUGCCAGGAACUUUCCAGAGAUGGAUUGGUGCCCGAAAGGGAACCUGGACACAGGUGCUGCAUGGCUGUCGUCAGCUCGUGUCGUGAGAUGUUGGGUUAAGUCCCGCAACGAGCGCAACCCUUGCCAUUAAUUGCCAUCAUUCAGUUGGGCACUUUAAUGGGACUGCCGGUGAUAAACCGGAGGAAGGUGGGGAUGACGUCAAGUCCUCAUGGCCCUUAUGGGUAGGGCUUCACACGUAAUACAAUGGUCGGUACAGAGGGUAGCCAACCCGCGAGGGGGAGCCAAUCCCAGAAAGCCGAUCGUAGUCCGGAUCGUAGUCUGCAACUCGACUACGUGAAGUCGGAAUCGCUAGUAAUCGCGGAUCAGCAUGUCGCGGUGAAUACGUUCCCGGGUCUUGUWCACACCGCCCGUCACACCAUGGGAGUGGAAUCGGCAGAAGUAGGUAGCCWACCGCAAGGGGGGCGCUWCCACGCAGGGUUCAAG
Molecule: ribosomal RNA, 494 nt
Filed under: uncultured bacterium
Lineage: Bacteria
Description: bacterial SSU rRNA
Rfam family: Bacterial small subunit ribosomal RNA
Source: RNAcentral